AGCAGAGGAGGUGUGCUGCUCCCCAGGUGACUCCUAGAGAGGCGGUGUGUCAGCUGGGAACCACUGCAUCCCUUUGACUGUGAGGAAAGGAAAGGGAAGAAAUGGUGAGGCAUAGAAGCAGUGCUCCCCUUAGAGAAGAUAAGCAGUAAGAGGAGUCAAAGCCCCGGUUACCAAUGAUUUAAUGUUUUAUUUCCAUAAAGGAUUUGUCAGCCAGGAAAUGCGCAGCAGCUUUAGCCCCCUUCUGCUCAUUCAGCCCUCGUCAGGGCCUGUUGCUCACGUUUUGCUCUGAAGACACUCACUUGGUCUGAUGUUCUCCUUAACAGCAUUUCCGGUGGACGACAGCUGCCCCAAAAUCCCCGUAGUCCCUCACGGUGAUCCACAUUGAUUUGAAGGAGGUCAGGCAGGAGAGGACGGAGGCCCCGACCCACACGCUGUACUUCCUCUCGGGAGGGGCAAUGAUUUUCACGAGCAUCCCCACAGGCACCUGCAGGUGCAUCUCCUUCAGGAUGCGCUCCUCCAGGCCAGGGAAGAGCGUGGAGCCUCCCGAGAGCAGCACGUUGCCAUACAGAUCCCUGCGCACAUCGAUGUCGCACUUUGUGACGCUGUUGAAGAGCAUUUUGUGCACACCAGCUGCUUCAAUGCCAACGUUGGCAGGUACAAAAAGGGUCUCUGGUGCACGAAAGAGCUGGCUGCCUAUCUGAAUGAUGUUGCUGUCAGGUAAUCUGUAUUCUUUCAUGAUUUCUUCUGGACUUGCUUUCAUUUCCAGAGUGGGGUCUAGAGCCACAUAGCACAGCUUCUCUUUGAUAUCUUUCACAAUUUCCCUUUCAGCGGUGCUAACGAAAGAGUAUCCGCUCUCCAAAAGGAGCCUCAUAAAAUACUCAGUGAUAUCCCGGCCAGCGAUAUCCAGCCUGGACACGGCAUGGGGCAGGCAGUACCCCUCGUAAAUGGGGACGGUGUGGGUGACGCCAUCCCCGCUGUCCAGAACUAUGCCGGUGGUGCGGGCAGACGCGUAGAGGGCCAACGCAGCCUGGACUGCCACGUACAUGGCGGGCACCAUGAAGCCCUCAAACAUGAUCUCAGUCAUUCUUUCCCGGUUCUGCAGGGGGUUGAGGGGGGGUUCUGUGAGCAGCACGGGUCUUUCGCUGGCUUUCACUCUCAGCUCGUAGUCAUAGACGUGUCUCCAGAUCCUUUCCAUGUCAUCCCAGGAUGUAACGAUGCCAUGGUCAAUGGGAUAAUUCAAAGUCAGGAUCCCUCUUUUGGACUGAGCUUCUUCUCCUACGUAGUACUCUUUCAUCCCAGCUCCCAGCAUUGCAGAUUUGACUCUUGAGCGACCGACGAUCGAUGUGAUAACUGACCUUGGGCCACCGUCCCCUGCGAUCCCCGCCUUGCACAAUCCAGACCCGUUGUCAAAGAUUACAGCUGGGACAUCCAAAACGCUGGGGUCAAACAUUCCUCACAGAGCUGACAGCCCCCAGAGCAGCUCACUGGCAGCGUUUUUCUGGGGGUUUUUCGGUGUUUUCAGCCUUUUAAAGGGUGGUCACCGUUGCCAGGGCAGCCUCCUUGGGGGUGUGCAGGGUGGGGGUGGGCAUGUCUGCCCCCAGCUACCUCAUAAAGGCCAGUGAUAGAAUAAUAUAUUUCCCUGCAAGACACAGCAUUCCAGACACUUCCCUGGAAAUGCCUAGGGCAGCUGUGCCACGACUCCAGCCGGGGGAACAUCCGUUCACCAAGUCCCAUCCAUAGAUCACAGACCACCAAAGGUAUCCCCAUACUGAGCCUCACAGCACCUGUUUCUCAGAAGGGCAGGACAAAAUUUCCCACCAAAGGAA
RNAcentral lists this long non-coding RNA (1826 nucleotides) under Gallus gallus (chicken). RNAcentral's name for it is "long non-coding RNA NONGGAT004854". Lineage: Eukaryota; Metazoa; Chordata; Aves; Galliformes; Phasianidae. The record is from RNAcentral.